UACGUAGGGUGCGAGCGUUAAUCGGAAUUACUGGGCGUAAAGUGUGCGCAGGCGGCCGAGCAAGUCGAGUGUGAAAGCCCCGGGCUUAACCUGGGAACUGCGUUUGAAACUGGGAGACUUGAGUGUGGCAGAGGGGGGUGGAAUUCCACGUGUAGCAGUGAAAUGCGUAGAUAUGUGGAGGAACACCGAUGGCGAAGGCAGCCCCCUGGGUUAACACUGACGCUCAUGCACGAAAGCGUGGGGAGCAAACAGG
Molecule: ribosomal RNA, 253 nt
Filed under: uncultured bacterium
Lineage: Bacteria
Description: partial 16S ribosomal RNA
Rfam family: Bacterial small subunit ribosomal RNA
Source: RNAcentral